UGCAGCUAUGUCAAAUUCACUGCCUACCUCACCCAUGGCAGGCACUGGCCCAAAAGGCUGCUACAGAAAUACUGUGACUCAUGGGCCCUGAUCCUCUGUGCUAGGCCUCAGGGAUAAAUUUGGUUACAGACACCA
Small nucleolar RNA from Bison bison bison, 135 nucleotides. Lineage: Eukaryota; Metazoa; Chordata; Mammalia; Artiodactyla; Bovidae. The record is from Ensembl.